RNAcentral lists this ribosomal RNA (253 nucleotides) under uncultured prokaryote. RNAcentral describes it as "partial 16S ribosomal RNA". It matches the Rfam family "Bacterial small subunit ribosomal RNA", at positions 524 to 776 of the family's 1533-position model. The record is from RNAcentral.
UACAGAGGGUGCGAGCGUUAAUCGGAAUUACUGGGCGUAAAGGGCGUGUAGGUGGUUUGUUAAGAUUGAUGUGAAAGCCCCGGGCUUAACCUGGGAACUGCGUUGAAGACUGACAGACUAGAGUUGGACAGAGGGUGGUGGAAUUUCCGGUGUAGCGGUGAAAUGCGUAGAGAUCGGAAAGAACAUCCGUGGCGAAGGCGGCCACCUGGGUCCAAACUGACACUGAGGCGCGAAAGCGUGGGGAGCAAACAGG